AAUUUUAUUCAACUUAAAUUUCGGUAUGUUGUAAAUGCCGUUAAAGAAAAUAGGAUGAAAACAAAUUGUGAGGCAACAGGUUUUGUAAACUUUCUCUGUUUCAUAUGUAACUGCGUUUUGAUGCAAUCAAAGCACACUUAUGCACAUAUUUGCAACUCAGUAAUUUUAACGUGGCAUCACAGCGAAGAUGAUACGUAAAAAACCCCCUUCUAACAUCAUCUCAUAAACAAAGACUGUCGUCAAUCACAAACUGAGUAAUUUUUGCAUUGAAGAAACUAGAAUAAAAAGCUUUUAACUCGUUAUUUCGAAGCACACAAUUAACAUAAUAUAUGUACAUAUAUCUCGAAUUUCAUUUGGUAUUAUUUUACCUAACAUAUUAUACAUAUAUGUAGGAAAACACGCGCAACAGCCACGUUCUUGAUAGCAGCGGUAGUCACAUUUUUUUUAAUUUUCCGUCGUCGAGAGCAUUUACACCUUUAAUGUACAUCUAUUCACACUAUUUUUACUCAAUGGAGAAAAUUAUUGUGGUAAUUUAACACUACCGCAACUUUGUGCUUUACAUUUUCCUUACGUUAUAGUUCAAACAUUUAAACCUAAUUUAAACGUGUAGUUCCAAAAAAGAACCACUACCUCUCGAACAAUUUACUUAUUGCAAUCAAGGCAGCGACGCUAACUUGCACACAGCUACUUAUACACGCAGUAACCCACUUCCAUAAUGAUGGCAACUUACUUAAUUUCUACAACGUGGUUGAUCCUUUAAAUUAUUUUUUUUAUAAAAACCAAGUACUGAAUACACCGAGUAAUCAAUAAAUUCACAAAUACUAUGAUUUUUUAU
Molecule: long non-coding RNA, 835 nt
Organism: Bactrocera neohumeralis
Lineage: Eukaryota; Metazoa; Arthropoda; Insecta; Diptera; Tephritidae
Exons: 2
Source: RefSeq, a predicted model, not a curated record